This 432-nucleotide ribosomal RNA is filed under the name uncultured bacterium. Its description in RNAcentral is "partial 16S ribosomal RNA". It matches the Rfam family "Bacterial small subunit ribosomal RNA", at positions 29 to 507 of the family's 1533-position model. The record is from RNAcentral.
AACGAACGCUGGCGGCAUGCCUAACACAUGCAAGUCGAACGAGACCUUCGGGUCUAGUGGCGCACGGGUGCGUAACGCGUGGGAACCUGCCCUUAGGUUCGGAAUAACUCCCCGAAAGGGGUGCUAAUACCGGAUAAUGUCUUCGGACCAAAGAUUUAUCGCCUUUGGAUGGGCCCGCGUUGGAUUAGCUAGUUGGUAGGGUAAAAGCCUACCAAGGCGACGAUCCAUAGCUGGUCUGAGAGGAUGAUCAGCCACACUGGGACUGAGAACGGCCCAGACUCCUACGGGAGGCAGCAGUGGGGAAUAUUGGACGAUGGGCGAAAGCCUGAUCCAGCAAUGCCGCGUGAGUGAUGAAGGCCUUAGGGUUGUAAAGCUCUUUUACCCGGGAUGAUAAUGACAGUACCGGGAGAAUAAGCUCCGGCUAACUCCGUG